Molecule: microRNA precursor, 58 nt
Filed under: Lingula anatina
Lineage: Eukaryota; Metazoa; Brachiopoda; Lingulata; Lingulida; Lingulidae
Description: Lan-Mir-1994-o1b_pre stem-loop
Source: RNAcentral
AGGGAGUACACACUUGCCUCAUGUUGUGUAAGAGGGUGAGACAGUGUGUCCUCCUUCA